AGCGCCGAACACCUGACUGAAGAUAAACUCGGCACCGAGCAGGCUGUGUGGCUCAGGCGCAGAGGGCGUAACGUAUCCCAUAUCCAGCGGGUCGGUGUACGAAUCUGUCCGAGUGAUGCGUUUGUUACGGUCGAGCGUAAUCGUGCGUAGCUCGAGCAUUCGUGCGGAAAAGGAGGGUGGUCGCGUUAUCAUCGACACGGUUUCGCCGUCUCACCUGUGACAGCCCGGCUGUGAUAGACGAGCAGAAAGAGCGUGUGGAGGUGUUCCCAUGGGGUCGUCUCACUGGGCACACUGUGAUGUUGUACACAAAGCUUGGAAAAGCAGAAUGUGCCUGUUAAGCUGAAGGAGGUGACAAGGUCUUUGAUAGUCCUUCAAAACACAUCAUUUCAUCGUUUGUUGCUACAAGAAACGUCAAGAUGGUCAGAGCAGUUGUUUGCCAAGUGCUCUUUAGAGUGGCACUUCCUGUUGUUUUGUUGCUAGCGGUGCUGUUUCGCUACAAUGUGUUCUCCUUUGUGUACUUACUUCUUCUGUUGGCCAAUCCGUUAAUUCCUGGACCUAAUUCCAGGAAUGCAAAUAUAGUACGAACAAACUGCUACCUCAAGACUGUUGUAGGAGCAAGCACUUUGUUUUGUGUGGCUCAAGUGGUCUACCAAAUAGUACUUUUAUCAA
Molecule: long non-coding RNA, 669 nt
Organism: Rhipicephalus sanguineus (brown dog tick)
Lineage: Eukaryota; Metazoa; Arthropoda; Arachnida; Ixodida; Ixodidae
Exons: 4
Source: RefSeq, a predicted model, not a curated record